Molecule: ribosomal RNA, 636 nt
Filed under: Bacillus sp. P019
Lineage: Bacteria; Bacillati; Bacillota; Bacilli; Caryophanales; Bacillaceae
Description: bacterial SSU rRNA
Rfam family: Bacterial small subunit ribosomal RNA
Source: RNAcentral
CCGGCUGUCACUUACAGAUGGGCCCGCGGCGCAUUAGCUAGUUGGUGAGGUAACGGCUCACCAAGGCAACGAUGCGUAGCCGACCUGAGAGGGUGAUCGGCCACACUGGGACUGAGACACGGCCCAGACUCCUACGGGAGGCAGCAGUAGGGAAUCUUCCGCAAUGGACGAAAGUCUGACGGAGCAACGCCGCGUGAACGAUGAAGGCUUUCGGGUCGUAAAGUUCUGUUGUCAGGGAAGAACAAGUAUCGGAGUAACUGNCCGGUACCUUGACGGUACCUGACCAGAAAGCCACGGCUAACUACGUGCCAGCAGCCGCGGUAAUACGUAGGUGGCAAGCGUUGUCCGGAAUUAUUGGGCGUAAAGCGCGCGCAGGCGGUUCCUUAAGUCUGAUGUGAAAGCCCCCGGCUCAACCGGGGAGGGUCAUUGGAAACUGGGGAACUUGAGUGCAGAAGAGGAGAGCGGAAUUCCACGUGUAGCGGUGAAAUGCGUAGAGAUGUGGAGGAACACCAGUGGCGAAGGCGGCUCUCUGGUCUGUAACUGACGCUGAGGCGCGAAAGCGUGGGGAGCGAACAGGAUUAGAUACCCUGGUAGUCCACGCCGUAAACGAUGAGUGCUAAGUGUUAGAGGGUUUCC